This 69-nucleotide ribosomal RNA is filed under the name Opitutaceae bacterium. Lineage: Bacteria; Pseudomonadati; Verrucomicrobiota; Opitutia; Opitutales; Opitutaceae. The record is from RNAcentral.
UCUGGUGAGUAUAGGUGAGGGGAAACACACGUUCCCAUCUCGAACACGCUCGUUAAGCCCUCAACCGCC